GAUGAAGAACGUAGCGAAAUGCGAUAAGUAGUGUGAAUUGCAGAAUUCAGUGAAUCAUCGAAUCUUUGAACGCACAUUGCGCCCUUUGGUAUUCCUUAGGGCAUGCCUGUUCGAGCGUCAUUUAAACCUUCAAGCUCAGCUUGGUGUUGGGUGACUGUCCGCUUCACCGCGGACUCGCCUCAAAAUUAUUGGCGGCCGGUACAUCGGCUUCGAGCGCAGCAGAAACGCGAACUCGGGCCCGUCGUAUUGGCUCCCAGAAGCUAUCUUCACAAUUUUGACCUCGGAUCAGGUAGGGAUACCCGCUGAACUUAAGCAUAUCAAUAAGCGGAGGA
This 332-nucleotide unclassified non-coding RNA is filed under the name soil metagenome. Its description in RNAcentral is "partial contains 5.8S ribosomal RNA, internal transcribed spacer 2, and large subunit ribosomal RNA". The stretch from base 1 to 120 matches the Rfam family "5.8S ribosomal RNA", at positions 35 to 154 of the family's 154-position model. The record is from RNAcentral.